Homo sapiens (human) is the source of this 266-nucleotide long non-coding RNA. RefSeq lists it as uncharacterized. The record is from RefSeq and is a predicted model, not a curated record. The transcript has 2 exons. Lineage: Eukaryota; Metazoa; Chordata; Mammalia; Primates; Hominidae.
GUGAUUCUCCUGUCUCAGCCUCUCCAGUAGCUGGGAUUACAGAAAGAGAAGGCAUGUGAAGAGACAGACACAUACACAGAGAGACUCCCUGCAAGGACUGCAGUUAUGCUGCCUCCAGCCAAGCCACUACCAGAGGCCAGGAGAGAGGCUUGGAAGAGAUCCUGCCCCAGGAUCCUCAGAGGGAACAUGGCCCUGCUGACUCCUUGAUCUUGGACUUCUGGCACCUCCAUAACUGUGAGAUAAUAAAUUGCUGUUGCUCUAAGCCA